Molecule: ribosomal RNA, 255 nt
Filed under: uncultured bacterium
Lineage: Bacteria
Description: partial 16S ribosomal RNA
Rfam family: Bacterial small subunit ribosomal RNA
Source: RNAcentral
UACGUAGGGGGGCAAGCGUUGUCCGGAAUUAUUGGGCGUAAAGGGCGCGUAGGCGGUCAGCACAAGUCAGUUGUGAAAUCUCCGGGCUUAACCCGGAAAGGUCAACUGAUACUGUGCGACUAGAGUGCGGAAGGGGCAACUGGAAUUCUCGGUGUAGCGGUGAAAUGCGUAGAUAUCGAGAGGAACACCUGCGGCGAAGGCGGGUUGCUGGGCCGACACUGACGCUGAUGCGCGAAAGCCAGGGGAGCGAACGGG